Long non-coding RNA from Brassica napus (rape), 1115 nucleotides. RefSeq lists it as uncharacterized. The transcript is spliced from 4 exons. Lineage: Eukaryota; Viridiplantae; Streptophyta; Magnoliopsida; Brassicales; Brassicaceae. The record is from RefSeq and is a predicted model, not a curated record.
GGGAGAAAGGGAGGGGGGACCGGAGAAAAAAACUAAUUUCUAACUAAAUUAUAUUGUAAUCUUUUAUUUAUUAAAACACAAGUCACUCACAUAAUAAAAAUCUGGAACAUGGAAUUGUGCUUUAAAAAAAAAAUUCAACUAAUUUCUUGAUUUUCAAUUUUUUGGUAAAAAAAAACUUAAUCCCUAAAAUUUCUCAUGUCAAUGUCAACACGUUCACAUUUCUUAAAGAAUUUUAUUUAUAAUUAAAAAUCAUGUCACAAUUCAAACUGUUUUAACUCUUUUUUUAACACCAAUUAACUCUUUUAUAAAUUCAAAAAACUUAUUUAUUCUCCCUACCAUCUUUUUCUCUAUCUUCUCUUUCUCUUCCAAUUCUUCUACAUCUUUUUCUUCUCGUGUUUUGAGUGUAGUAAAAGAUCUAUACAAGUUUUUAUUUCAGAUUUAAUUUGCUCAUUUUCAAUUCAGUGUUCUCUCAUUUUCUUAAUUCUUUAGGCAUGAUUGAGGUUGAAGAUGAUACUUAAAUAUACUCCAGUUUCAAAGCUUUUUUUCAAACAAGAAAGAAAAAUCAGAAUUUUGUCAGCAAUUUUAGGUUAAUGAUGACUAAAGAAGGAAGCUAUGGAGAAGAAACCCAAAAUGUUGAAUAUGACAUGUGAAUAUACUCAUGUUUUAAUCGUCAACAAUCAAGCCUUGAAGAAAUCUUAUCAUGUGGCUAACACAUGUGAUGCUGCUUUCAAAGAUGUGGAAAAACAGAAGUGGUCCAGACUAGUCACGUGCUGCCACGUGUCGGUUCUCUAUCCCUGGCGAUGCCGAAAUGUUGAUUCCCCAGUGACCGAGACUCGAACUCUGGUGGCUUCACUGUAUUGGGCUUUUUUCCUCAUGUUAAUCACCACCAGGCCACAAGCUUUGGUUUUUAAAUAAUUAUUUACCGGUGUUUCUCUGACUUCAGUAGAUUUAAGUCCCAUAAGUAAAUAUAUGGAUUUAAUAAGAAUAAAAUUUUUUUAAGAAUGUAAUUUCUCUUUAGUGGUUCUUAUUAGAAAGCACCAAAUUUAAUCUUAUCAUGUGUUUAUAUAUUAUUUUGAAAAUUUUAACUAUUACAAUAAAUUUUAUAAUUUGAUAUA